ACUCAGUCAGUGGAGCAUGUGACUUUUGAUCUCAAGGUUGUGGGUUCAAGCCCCACAUUGGGUA
Non-coding RNA from Canis lupus familiaris (dog), 64 nucleotides. NCBI's taxonomy places the organism in Eukaryota, Metazoa, Chordata, Mammalia, Carnivora, Canidae. The record is from Rfam.